Molecule: long non-coding RNA, 535 nt
Organism: Arachis duranensis
Lineage: Eukaryota; Viridiplantae; Streptophyta; Magnoliopsida; Fabales; Fabaceae
Exons: 3
Source: RefSeq, a predicted model, not a curated record
GACUUGGAACAACUGCAAUUGAGCUACCAGCACCAGAUCUUCAACCUACUUGUGAGAGUAUGAGUAACGGUGAGAGGAUUUUGCACCGCCACGACCAGUUCGAUGGAUAACCAUAGGAGUGUACUCGAUGACUGUGGACAGAGGGGGCUUCUCUGAGCGGAACAGGUAGAGGUGGGCUGGAUUGCGUUGAGACGCGGUGAGCAGAAGCUUCUUUGCCGUAACUGCGUCAUCCCAAAGCAGAAGCGAAACCGUAAUCGAGCUUUUGGCUUUGGAAGCCUGAUCAGAACUCGCAGUCAUGAUCUCUUUCUGCUUCGAUUUCUUAUCGGCAGUCCACAAUCACUGAUAUAACUGAUUUGGUUGGUUAGCCAUGAUGAACAACAGCAGCACUAUUCCUAGUUGCAACUUUGAGAGUGAUGCCUGUGUCAUCAAUCGAACGAGUCCAAUAGGCAAACGUCAUACUGAAAGCAGUUGAAUACUUUUGGAAGCAAAGGUGAAAACAUUGCAAACUCGGAAGAAUUUCUUAGGUAUAUUCAUU